AAAGCGUCGUGAAAAUAUGUGAGACCCUCAAGCUUGAUAGCUUCUUGAUGUAAUGGUUCUUUGUGUUUGUCCUUCCAUUCAAGACAAAUAUACCUGGUCAAAAACCUAAUGGUUGAAAAACAUAUGUACUGAUCAAUUAGUGAAACAAAGUUGUAUCACUGAUGCUGUGUUUUUCAUUGAAGCAAAGUAUGACAAUGUACUAAUCUAAUAGUGCAGAUGUAGAUUAUCUCGCCUAACCUGAUCGCAUGCUUCAAAGUUAGAUUUUGGCCCAGUAUAUAUUUAAUGUGUACAGUUCACAGAAAUAAUAAUGGUUUAUUUUAUUUCGUUACAAGCGCCGACAGACCAUGACGCUUGAAGAUAUGGAGGCGACAAAUCUGUGCUUAUCCCCUCUUGGUGAUAACUCUAGCCGAGCCCCUCUUGGUGACAUUCCUAAUCUUGAGCAUCCUUCCCAAAUGACUCCAGUGCCCGUGCCAGGUAAUUGCGAGCAUAAUUUUUUGUUGUUGAUCGCAUUGGGGCAUACAUAUAGUUGAUACGGCUUUUCUACUGUUAAAUUCUUGCUGCAGAAAUACAAAAAUUAUAUACAAAUCAGAACGAACAUCACAACAUGUUCUUAAACACAAUGGUGUUAGCACACAAAAAUCUAGCUAACAACAGGAACUACGGUUUUAACCCAGGCUAUUAACUAAGGUAAGGGAGAGAAUUUAACUGGAAAUUACUUCUUGGUGCAAGUAGUACAUGUGCUUUCAAGAGGAGCCAACGAUGCGGCCAACCAUGCUUAAAAUGAUACACAGUGCAAAUCCCACGCCUCUGGAUUCCUCUUACUUCAUCAGCUCACUUGAGUAAUGCCCUGCUUGUUUAGCAAAUAAAUUUUAGUUGUGUCUGGAAGAUGAUACAUAGCUGUCUAUUAUAUCAUGAAGAGCAUGGCUCCAAUGUAUUUCAGGUACUUAUGUCUAGCUUCAACAGAUGGCAUCUCUAAUACUUCUGAAUCUUUCUUUUUCCGGAUAAUGCAUCUGUAUGUCUGCAUUCAUAUGCUUAUGUAUAUCCUUGAAUCCAUUUUAGUCAAACAUUGCGAUCAAUAGCUCACAAGGAAAAAGAACAUUGUACAGUAGAAGAGGCAUAUGUGAAUACAUUGCGCAAAUAACUGAUACCAGUUUUCUGAACUAG
Molecule: long non-coding RNA, 1164 nt
Filed under: Triticum aestivum (bread wheat)
Lineage: Eukaryota; Viridiplantae; Streptophyta; Magnoliopsida; Poales; Poaceae
Description: long non-coding RNA (TAES_LNC021520)
Source: RNAcentral